AUUUAAAAGUAAAAAUAUAAACUUGAAUAUUAAUAGUUAUUUUCUUUAAAAUCAAAGAAUUUGGCGGUAAUUUAGUCUUGUUAGAGGAACCUGUUUUAUAAACGAUAAAUCACGCAAUAUCUUACUUAUUUUUGUAAAUGUGUUUCAGUUUGUAUACCUUCAUUAUUAAAUAAUUUUGUAAAAAAUAAUUAUUGAGAUUAAUAAUUAAUUUAAAGAUAUUAGAUCAAGGUGCAGCUUAUAAAUAAGUAAAAAUGGGUUACAAUAAUAUAUAAUUAUACGGAUAGUAAAAAGAAUAGUUUAUUUUAAGGUGGAUUUAAUUGUAAGGGUGCUUUAAUAAGUCUCUCUGAUAUUAGCUCUAAGUUAUGUACAUAUCGCCCGUCACUUUCAUUUAAAAU
RNAcentral lists this ribosomal RNA (395 nucleotides) under Enoplometopus daumi. RNAcentral describes it as "partial small subunit ribosomal RNA". The record is from RNAcentral. Lineage: Eukaryota; Metazoa; Arthropoda; Malacostraca; Decapoda; Enoplometopidae.